CGGAGGAAAAGAAACUAACAAGGAUUCCCCUAGUAGCGGCGAGCGAAGCGGGAAAAGCCCAAUAUGAAAAUCCAGUUUACUGGAGUUGUAUCGUCUUCUUUUGGAAUUUCAGUGCGAGUAAGUAGCAUGGAAAUGCUCACCGAGGAGGGUUAGAGUCCCGUCCAUCUCGUUCAGGAAGUUCCGUACAAAAGUUGACAAGUGAGUCGGGUAGCUUGGGACUGCUGCUCUAACUGGUGGUAAAUCUCAUCAAAGGCUAAAUAAUGGUGGGAGACCGAUAGUGAACAAGUACCGCGAGGGAAAGAUGACAAGCACUUUGAAAAGAGGGUGAAAAGAGCCUGAAACCGUUACGAGGGAAGCGGAUUGCGUUGGAGUAUGGCUUGCUACAUGUUCAGCCGUUUCGGUGUACUCAUGUUAGCAGUUAUCCGUUGUGGCUUUUCUGCGGCGUUGCUGCGGGAGGGUGAGGGCUCCCCUUUAUGGGUGAGGACGACGGUGUGACGACGCGAUACGACCCGUCUUGAAACACGGACCAAGGAGUCUAGCACUAUUGCGAGUCGAAGGGUUUAAACCCGUGGGCGCAGUGAAAGCGAACUGUGAAAAACGAGCAGUUUGGGGCGGCAUAAAAUCGUUGAUUUUAAGACUGACCUAGAGCAGUUGUGCUGGGACCCGAAAGAUGGUGAACUAUGCCGGAGUAGGGCAAAGCCAGAAGAAAUUCUGGUGGAGGCUCGUAGCGGUGCUGACGUGCAAAUCGCUCGUCGAACUUGGGUAUAGGGGCGAAAGACUCAUCGAACCAUCUAGUAGCUGGUUCCCUCCGAAGUUUCUCUCAGGAUAGCGGGCCGACAGACGUUGUUUUGUGCGGUAAAGCGAAUGAUUAGCGUAUUUGGGGACAUUUGGUCUUCGGGCGAUUCUCAAACUUUAAAUGCGCAAGGGUGCCGCUGCUUUAUUGAGCGGUACCGAUAAAAACGUCGGCCUCGUGGGCCACUUUUGGUAAGCAGAACUGGCGAUACGGGAUGAACCGUAAGCAUGGUUAAGGCGCCAAAUUGCCCGCUUAUAGAUCCCACAAAAGGUGUUGAUUCAUCGAGACAGCAGGACGGUGGCCAUGGAAGUCGGAAUCCGCCAAGGAGUGUGUAACAACUCACCUGCCGAAUGAAUUAGCCCUGAAAAUGGAUGGCGCUAAAGCGGGCAGCCGACACCAUGCCGUCUGUUUAAGGUAGAUAACAGAUGAGUAGGAGGGCGUGGUGGCCGUAUCGAAGCAUGCGUGCGAACGCGUGUGGAACGGCCACUAGUGCAGAUCUUGGUGGUAGUAGCAAAUAUUCAAGCGAGAUCCUUGAAGGGCGAAGCGGGGAAGGGUUCCACGCGAACAUUGAUUGGGCGUGGGUGAGUCGUUCCUAAGCCGGGUGGUCAUUGCUAAAUAACGGCGAAAGGGAAGCGGGUUUAAAUUCCCGCACACGGAUGUGGAGGCGGCGACGCUUUGUUGGGGCGAAGACGCCGGCGGUGGCGCUGGGCAGAGAUGUCUUUUCUGUUUAACCAUGCUGAGUGCGGUGUGGAAUCCGCUUGUCGGGAGAAACACGCACACGAGGUAAGAGCGCCGGGACUUUUCCGGCGUCCAGCUCGCCAUCGACGGCCCUUGAAAAUUUGCCUGCUGGUAGGAUCCACGCCGUGGCGUACCGAUAACCGCAUCAGGUCCCCAAGGUGAACAGCCUCUGUCCAGUAUGAAUAAUGCAGGUAAGGGAAGUCGGCAAAUUGGACCCGUAACUUUGGGAAAAGGGUUGGCUCUAGUGCUGCGUGGGAGUGGUUGUCCGUUGUUGGCCGUAGUUGGCUAGCUGGACGGGCUGCGAGGCGACCCUUCRCGGGGGAGUUUGCGGCUUGACUGGUGGGCCGGUGCGAUCGCUGCGGACGGCGCCCACGGUGUGCAGCAGACUAGAACUGCAACGGGCAAAGGGAAUCCGACUGUUUAAUUAAAACAAAGCAUUGCGAGGGCCAUGGGUGGUGAUGACGCAAU
This 1999-nucleotide ribosomal RNA is filed under the name Asteromenia exanimans. RNAcentral's name for it is "partial 28S ribosomal RNA". Lineage: Eukaryota; Rhodophyta; Florideophyceae; Rhodymeniales; Hymenocladiaceae. The record is from RNAcentral.